RNAcentral lists this ribosomal RNA (266 nucleotides) under unidentified marine bacterioplankton. RNAcentral's name for it is "partial 16S ribosomal RNA". It matches the Rfam family "Bacterial small subunit ribosomal RNA", at positions 55 to 339 of the family's 1533-position model. The record is from RNAcentral.
AUGCAAGUCGAACGCGGAAGAAUCUCUCGGGAGUUUUGAAGAGUGGCGAACGGGUGAGGAACACGUAAGAAUCACCUUUCGGUUGGGGAUAACUUCUGGAAACGGGAGCCAAUACCCAAUAUGCUGUGGAGUGAAAGAAUUUCGCCGAAAGACGAUCUUGCGUCUGAUUAGCUAGUUGGGGUGGUAAUGGCACACCAAGGCGACGAUCAGUAGCUGGUCUGAGAGGAUGGACAGCCACAUUGGGACUGAGACACGGCCCAGGCUCC